UACAGAGGGUGCUAGCGUUAAUCGGAUUUACUGGGCGUAAAGCGUGUGUAGGCGGUUUGUUAAGUCGGGUGUGAAAUCCCUGGGCUCAACCUGGGAAUUGCAUUCGAUACUGGCAAGCUAGAGUACGGUAGAGGGCGGCGGAAUUCCGGGUGUAGCGGUGAAAUGCGUAGAUAUCCGGAGGAACACCGAUGGCGAAGGCAACCGCCUGGGCCUGUACUGACGCUGAGGAGCGAAAGCGUGGGGAGCGAACAGG
This 253-nucleotide ribosomal RNA is filed under the name uncultured bacterium. Its description in RNAcentral is "partial 16S ribosomal RNA". It matches the Rfam family "Bacterial small subunit ribosomal RNA", at positions 524 to 776 of the family's 1533-position model. The record is from RNAcentral.